This 100-nucleotide ribosomal RNA is filed under the name Pongo abelii (Sumatran orangutan). The record is from RNAcentral. Lineage: Eukaryota; Metazoa; Chordata; Mammalia; Primates; Hominidae.
GUCUAUGGCCAUACCACCCUGAAAGCGCCCAAUCUCGUCUGAUCUCGGAAGCUAGCAGGGUCGGGCCUGGUUAGUACUUGGAUAGGAGAUAUUAUAAAGC